RNAcentral lists this ribosomal RNA (254 nucleotides) under uncultured bacterium. RNAcentral describes it as "partial 16S ribosomal RNA". It matches the Rfam family "Bacterial small subunit ribosomal RNA", at positions 526 to 779 of the family's 1533-position model. The record is from RNAcentral.
CGUAGGGUGCAAGCGUUAAUCGGAAUUACUGGGCGUAAAGCGUGCGCAGGCGGUUAUAUAAGACAGAUGUGAAAUCCCCGGGCUCAACCUGGGAACUGCAUUUGUGACUGUAUAGCUAGAGUACGGUAGAGGGGAUGGAAUUCCGCGUGUAGCAGUGAAAUGCGUAGAUAUGACGGAGGAACACCGAUGGCGAAGGCAAUCCCCUGGACCUGUACUGACGCUCAUGGCACGAAAGCGUGGGAGCAAACAGGAUU